AUUCCAGCUCCAGUAGCGUAUAUUAAAGUUGUUGCAGUUAAAAAGCUCGUAGUUGGAUUUCUGGUUUCACAGAACUGGCCUACUUCCUCAAGGUCGUGUGCGCCGUGUUUUGUGUACCAUCCUUCUAGAAAUUGUGUUCCAUCCCUUCACUGGGAUAGAUCCGAGAUCUAGAUCUUUUACUUUGAAGAAAUUAGAGUGUUCAAAGCAGGCUCGCGCUGUGAAUACAUUAGCAUGGAAUAAUAAUUUAGGACUUGGUAUCCUAUUUUGUUGGUUUUCAGGAUCUAAGUAAUGAUUGAUAGGGAUAGUUGGGGGUGCUAGUAUUCCGCCGGGAGAGGUGAAAUUCUCAGACCAGCGGAAGACGAACCACUGCGAAAGCAUUUGCCAGGGAUGUUUUCAUCG
RNAcentral lists this ribosomal RNA (399 nucleotides) under Cercozoa sp. Its description in RNAcentral is "partial small subunit ribosomal RNA". It matches the Rfam family "Eukaryotic small subunit ribosomal RNA", at positions 582 to 975 of the family's 1831-position model. The record is from RNAcentral. Lineage: Eukaryota; Cercozoa.